CAAUCUGAAUGUGCAUUUUCACU
RNAcentral lists this microRNA (23 nucleotides) under Ptychodera flava. Its description in RNAcentral is "Pfl-Mir-4828-P3_5p* (star (passenger))". The record is from RNAcentral. Lineage: Eukaryota; Metazoa; Hemichordata; Enteropneusta; Ptychoderidae.